This 83-nucleotide transfer RNA is filed under the name Ruminiclostridium papyrosolvens DSM 2782. RNAcentral's name for it is "tRNA-Leu". It matches the Rfam family "tRNA". From Rfam's summary of the family: Transfer RNA (tRNA) molecules are approximately 80 nucleotides in length. RNAcentral also lists the same sequence under 3 other names. Lineage: Bacteria; Bacillati; Bacillota; Clostridia; Eubacteriales; Oscillospiraceae. The record is from RNAcentral.
GCGGAUGUGGCGGAAUUGGCAGACGCGCUGGAUUUAGGUUCCAGUGGGCGACCGUGGGGGUUCAAGUCCCUUCAUCCGCACCA